GAUGAAGAACGUAGCGAAAUGCGAUAAGUAAUGCGAAUUGCAGAAUUCAGUGAAUCAUCGAAUCUUUGAACGCACAUUGCGCCCUCUGGUAUUCCGGGGGGCAUGCCUGUUCGAGCGUCAUUAUAACCACUCAAGCUCUCGCUUGGUAUUGGGGUUCGCGGUUUCGCGGCCCCUAAAAUCAGUGGCGGUGCCUGUCGGCUCUACGCGUAGUAAUACUUCUCGCGAUUGAGUUCGAUAGGUCUACUUGCCAGUAACCCCCAAUUUUUACAGGUUGACCUCGGAUCAGGUAGGGAUACCCGCUGAACUUAAGCAUAUCAAUAAGCGGAGGA
RNAcentral lists this unclassified non-coding RNA (329 nucleotides) under soil metagenome. Its description in RNAcentral is "partial contains 5.8S ribosomal RNA, internal transcribed spacer 2, and large subunit ribosomal RNA". The stretch from base 1 to 120 matches the Rfam family "5.8S ribosomal RNA", at positions 35 to 154 of the family's 154-position model. The record is from RNAcentral.